Suricata suricatta (meerkat) is the source of this 1073-nucleotide long non-coding RNA. RefSeq lists it as uncharacterized. The record is from RefSeq and is a predicted model, not a curated record. Lineage: Eukaryota; Metazoa; Chordata; Mammalia; Carnivora; Herpestidae. The transcript is spliced from 4 exons.
ACGCACCUCCAGUGGAGGGGAUGCUGAGGAGGAAGGCAAGCCAAAGGCACCACGCCUUCGAUGAUCUCAUAAACGAGCCGUUUGCAUGCCGCUAGUGAACUAGAUGUGACUUCAAGACCGGCUUCCCUAACAUCCAGCCAACUUCUCUCCCUUCCAGCUUGGAAAGUCAAAGCGGUGCCCAAACUCCACCAGCAGCCGGCAGAGAGGCAGGGAGCCUGGCCCUCAGGAAGUCGGAAUACGCUUUUAACGCAUAGAUGACGCAUUAAUUAUGGAUGGAAGACGUCUGAGAUGAAUAAAGUGAAAUGGAAUGUGCUCUGAGCUCCUCCAUCCCGCAAAUCGGAAACUUCCCGCUGCUCAGCCGCGUGGCUCAGCCCUCGACUCCGGAGCCGCGGAGGAGACGGAGCGUAGAAUGCUUGAGACCCACGGGACGCACCCCGGCUCCGAAGGGAAUUUCCUGGUUUGGAUGCAGGCACUGGAGAAGUUAGCUGCCUAGAAAAGACCCUGGGUCCUUCAGCUGUCCUCAUUUACAAAGACAGUGAUUAAAAUACACAGAAAGCCUGCCUGGUGUUUUCAACGGAAGUCGCAACUGAGCGUCCGAACCACAAGCGUUGACUGAGUCUACCGAGUGGCUUACAUUUCUAAGAUCUUGGAGCAGAUACAGAAAAAGGCACCCUCACCUGCUGCCCUGGGAGAAGCCCAGGCACGAAGCCAGAUUUACAAAUCAUAAAGCCGCCACACAGGAAAGGAGUGGAAAUAAACGGGGGCUUGGUGAGAACGGACACAAAGCCACGACCACUCUGGAGACUGAGCGAAGGCUCCAGCCUAGUGACCGACCCUUCAACAGCCUGCGAGGAAAAAUGAGCAUCCUUUACAAGUGAACGUGUUUGCCGUCAGCUGUUGGACCGAGCGUGUGAAAAAGUGCAUCUCGAGACAAGCCGAAGAAAAGGGUUACGUUGUUGACAACAUCUUGGUUUCGUUCCAGAGAAGGUCAGUGGUUUGUGUGACAUGGACGCAGACUGAACGGCAGAUUAUUUAACAAUUUCAAAAAAAAUUAAAUCAUCUAGUCAGCCAAA